RNAcentral lists this ribosomal RNA (785 nucleotides) under Heterocerus brunneus. RNAcentral's name for it is "partial 16S ribosomal RNA". The stretch from base 272 to 519 matches the Rfam family "Archaeal large subunit ribosomal RNA", at positions 1786 to 2143 of the family's 2987-position model. Lineage: Eukaryota; Metazoa; Arthropoda; Insecta; Coleoptera; Heteroceridae. The record is from RNAcentral.
AAUUUAUUUUAUUAAAAGAAAUUUUCUAUUAUUUGAUUUUUUUGGUUUAAUAAUUAAAAUUCUAUGGGGAUGAGCUGGUGGAAUUAAUUUAAAUUUUUAAUUUUUAAAAUGAGUAGUAGGAUUAAAAUUUUCUUUCUUUUUAGUAUUUUAUAAUUUAUCAUUUUUUAAUUAUUAUUUUCUACUUAAUUAAGUUUUUUAUAAAAAUGUUAUUGUUAAUUUUUUAUUUUUAGUAAUAAUUAUGUAAUUAGUAAAGUUAACUUUAAAUUUAUUUUAUUGGCUAGGUAAGUUUAAGGAAUUCGGCAAAUAGUUUUUCGCCUGUUUAAUAAAAACAUGGUCUUUUGAAUUUGAUUUAAGAUCUGACCUGCCCGCUGAAGAUUUGAAUGGCCGCGGUAAUUUAACUGUGCGAAGGUAGCAUAAUCAAUAGUUUCUUGAUUGGAAGCUGGAAUGAAUGGUUGGACGAGAAAACUGCUGUCUCAGGUUUAAUUUUUUUGAAUUUUAUUUUUGAGUCAAAAAGCUUAAAUAUAAUUAAAAGACGAGAAGACCCUAUAGAGUUUUAUUUAAUUAAUUUUUUUAUAAUUUAAGAGAGUUUAAAGGAUUUAUUAAAUUUUGUUGGGGUGACAUUAAGAUUAAAUUAACUCUUAAAUAUUAAUUUCAAUUAUUAUUGUUUUUUUGAUCCAAUUUUUUUGAUUAAUAGAUUAAAUUACCUUAGGGAUAACAGCGUUAUUUUUCUUGAGAGCUCUUAUCGAAAGAAAAGAUUGCGACCUCGAUGUUGGAUUAAAAUAAAC